AUGCAGUCAAGGAGCGUAGUGUGCCAUGACUGCAGACAGCAGGCUCCUAUAUGGAACUUGGUCCUGUAUGCAACCUAUUGCUCAUGUGGUUUGCCUAAGGGACCUUUAGAGACAGCC
Small nucleolar RNA from Oryctolagus cuniculus (rabbit), 117 nucleotides. Its record names the gene SNORA70. It matches the Rfam family "Small nucleolar RNA SNORA70". From Rfam's summary of the family: snoRNA U70 seems to be exclusive to mammals and is a member of the H/ACA class of snoRNA which contain H (ANANNA) and ACA box motifs. H/ACA box snoRNAs are involved in the conversion of uridines to pseudouridines (5-ribosyluracil) a constituent of structural RNAs (transfer, ribosomal, small nuclear, and small nucleolar). The record is from Ensembl. Lineage: Eukaryota; Metazoa; Chordata; Mammalia; Lagomorpha; Leporidae.